CUUGCCUCGUAUGUCUCCGCUUAGUAUCGUAAUAUUAACGUAAGGAAGAGAAGGUACGAGUUUAGUAAUAAAAAUACUACUUUAACUACUACUACCAAUACUCCUACUACUUAUACUACUACCUCUACUAUUACAACUACCUCUGCUACUACUACUACUACUACUACUACUACUAUCGUCAGUGAGAUAUAUAUACUUAAGAAAUCAUGUUAUAUUCGAUGAUAGUUUAAUUACGUAAUGACAUUUUUUUCUUUCUUUCCUUCCUUCCUUCCUUCCUUUCUUUCUUUACACACACACACACACACACACACACACAUUUUGACAGGAGAUUCAUACGAGCGCAGCGACCAACCACACACACACACACACAUACACACACACACGCACACACACGCUACGCCAAAAUGCAAGCAAGCAAGCAAGCGCCGCCUACGACAACUCGCAGCCUCGGCCGAAACUACGUACAGCCGACACGAACGCAAAGGAUUGGAACACUUCAUUACGUAACACAGUCUUGCCCCCGAAGAAUAUUUAACAGUGCUUAUACGGUUUAAAAUAACACUCGGUUUUUUAUCCUCUUUGUCGCGUCCCUGUGUGUUCGUAUUUACGUAUUUACGCCUUCGAUUUUUGUCCCAGGUUGACGACUCUUCUUUGUAUUUUCCGCUCCACUGUGUCACGUCUCCUCCUCCGAUCCGACCUUUGUCAUAACGUCGGUUUUGUUUAGGUUUUCGAUUUUCCCGAACGUGUUUUGUGACAACACUUACGAUUAUUAAUUUUUUUAUUCUCCUUUCUCUGUCGGGUUUUGUGAGGGUGUGGUGUGGUCUGUCCAGACACGCGCACACCCCAUGUACGUUUAUGUAAUCUUACUUUUUGGGGGUAUUUUAAUAAAUGCCGUGAACGUUUCUUUAGGUUACGGAUGCAAGCGCCUGUUAUUACAGCCAUAGUUCUCUCUCUCUCUCUCUCUCUCUCUCUCUCUCUCUCUCUCUCUCUCUCUCUCUCUCUCUCUCUCUCUCUCUCUCUCUCUCUCUGUGUGUGUUCGUAUGUGCUAGAUUUUUUUUAUUAUUUCUUGUUGAGGUUAGUUCUGUCUUCCUCCUCCUCCUCUUCCUCCUCCUCCUCCUCCUCCUCUACCUCCUCCUCCUCCUCCUCUUGUGCCAAAUGAAUGCAUGAUAUUUUUUUUUCCUUCAUAUAUAUUAAUUUUUUUCUCUCCUCCUCCUCCUCCUCCUCUUCUUCCUCUUUCCUGGUAAUCACAUGGAGCCUUUUACUUAUUAUUAUUAUUAUUAUUAUUAUUAUUAUUAUUAUUAUUUUUAUUAUUAUUGUUAUUUCUAUGUCCCUUUCUGCACAAAAAGUCGUGUAAUUGGUGGGCCGAGCAAGCCAAUUUGUACGCACUGACCCUAUUAGCACUUGCAAUAGUAGUAGUAAUAGUAAUAGUAGUAGUAGUAGUAGUAGUAGUAGCAGUAGGGGUAGUGUGUCUGUAGUAUUGAUAGUAGUAGUAGUGUUAGUGUUAGUAGUAGUAGUAGUAGUGAUAGUAGUAGUAGUUGUAGUAGUAGUAGUAGUAGUAGUAGUAGUAGUAGUAGUAGUAGUAGUAGUAGUAGCAGCAGCAGAUGAAUCAAACACUCGUUCAUAACUAUCUUUCUUUCUUUCUUUCUAUUUUCCAUCAAUAUUUUUUUCCUGGUUUUUUCCCUCUACUUAAAGCGAGUACUAAUAGGCGUGCCUCGGUGCGUACAAACUGGCCUUACAAUCAACAACAGCAAACAAGAACAACAACAACAACAAGAGCAGUAGAGCAUUGCCUCACCAACACCCUUUCCUCCUUACCACACAAACGUAUCACUAUUAUUACCAUCAUUAUUAUUAUUAUUAUUAUUAUUAAACACGUAAUGGAAAAACAUAAUAAAAUGGAUCCGAGGACUUGCGGUGGUGAGCGACGGGGCGGCCGAUGCGUCUUUUUAAAAUAUCAUCAAAACAUUGUGACUGAUUAGGGUAACACAAUGGCUGCCGGCAAUUCUGGUCCUGAAGGAAGUCUGUUAGGUAGCAUUAUUUCUUAUUUUGGUAUUCAGUGCUGGUUGUUAUAAUAGGUUAGCCCACAUGACAGGCAGGUCCACAGGCAUACGAGUCGGGUUUAGACAGACUUUUUUGGCCUAGCAGCCUGACCGGACCUCUUGACUAACAGUGCGUAAAUCAAAUCCAGCCCUCUAGUGUUUUUUUCUUUCUGUUUAUAAGUUAACUAUGAGCCCGUGGUGACAGACAGGCUGGGCGGAACAACCCAGACUCAGCACUCACUUCAAUUUGACACUUGUGACUUUACGUAAUACUUGUAAUUAGGGGGCAAAUGUACCAAUUAACCUUUAUGUAUCAGAAAGCUCUACCCAGGAACUUUAAUUUGAUGCAGAGUAGGGAGACAUUCAGAGCACGGACAGGUAACUGCGUCAUCUCAAACCUCAGUCUUUACGUACCCAAAAAAUAUGUCCGUGUGGAGUCGGCCGCUCUAUCACUCACCGCCUAUGUCCUGUACGACCUCUGGAGUGCGUAGCCUAACUGUGAAGGUCGCCCCUUACGCCAUUCAAUUAGUCUAUAGUUUUAUAAUAUGGUGCUCUAAAGAAAGGAAUAAUACUAAUCGUCUAAGCACUUCUUAUUACGAGGCCGAGCGGUUACGUUACGAAGCCUGGCCGCCGCCGCCGCUGCCGCCUCUUGGAAUGCAUUGCCGUCUUACGAAUAGUGUUUUUAAAUGUGUCUGUAAUUAUUAACUAUCUAUAUAUAUUAGGCUAUUAUUAUUAUUAUUAUCAUUAUUAUUAUUAUUAUUAUUAUUUUUGAUUGCAAUUUCACGCCCAUUUCUCUUCUCGAGCGUAAUGUGAUGUUGUUUUCUUUCUUUUUCUCUCUUUCUCUCUCUCUCUCUGUUCCUUUUCUUUCUUAUUUCUCUUUUUUUUAUCUUUCCUUCUCUCCAUUCUCUCAUUUUUCCUCCAUUUCCUUCUUUUUCUUAUUUACUUCUCUCUCUCUCUCUCUCUCUCUCUCUCUCUCUCUCUCUCUCUCUCUCUCUCUCUCUCCAUUUGCUCACCCUCUAUCUCUCUCCUCCUCUCUCUUUCAAUAUCUUUUCCAUUUCUCUCUCUCUCUCUCUCUCUCUCUCUCUCCAUUCGCUCACCCUCUCUCUCUCUUUCAAUAUCUUUUCCAUUUCUUUCCGCAUUUCUCUUUCUCUCUCUCUCUCUCUCUCUCUCUCUCUCUCUCUCUCUCUCUCUCUCUCUCUCUCUCUCCUUGGGUUUACGAUAUAAGAACAGGAGUCGGAUUUUGACACACCAUUUAUACGUCUUGAACACCAAUAAAAGUCCUUCCUCAAUCCUCACUGGUUUUAUUUAUUACAUUAUUUAUUUCCUGAUGCAGGGGUGGAGGGGGAGGGGGGAGUGUGUGUGUGUGUGUGUGUGUGUGUGUGUACGUAAUGAGUGUGGUAAUAAUGAUGAUAGUUCUUCUUGUUCUUGUUCUUCUUGUUCUUCUUGUUCUUCUUGUUCUUCUUCUUCCUUUUCUUCUUCUUCUUCUUCUAGUAAUGUAUGGUCAUCUUCCUCCUCCUCCUCCUCCUUCUCCUUCUCCUUAUUCUUCUUCAUAUUCCUAAGUUUCCUCCUCCUCCUCCUCCUCCUCCUCUCUCUCCCAUCAAUACUAUCAUUACUAUUAUUAUUAUUAAGUAACAAAUAAGUAUAUAACACUGUCUAACCUAACUAUAUAAAUUCCUCUAAUAACAUAUAUAUCUAAAUGCCUUGAAUAAGUGUGUAUAUAUAUCUUACUGAAUUACAGAUUUAUAUAGAACUAAAUUAUGUAUAUGGGAACUUAAACCUUGGUAGUAGUAGUAGUAGCAGUAGUAGUAGUAGUAGUAGUAGUAGUAGUAG
Eriocheir sinensis (Chinese mitten crab) is the source of this 3869-nucleotide long non-coding RNA. RefSeq lists it as uncharacterized. NCBI's taxonomy places the organism in Eukaryota, Metazoa, Arthropoda, Malacostraca, Decapoda, Varunidae. The transcript is spliced from 2 exons. The record is from RefSeq and is a predicted model, not a curated record.